AUUGAACGCUAGCGGGAUGCUUUACACAUGCAAGUCGAACGGCAGCGCGGACUUCGGUCUGGCGGCGAGUGGCGAACGGGUGAGUAAUGUAUCGGAACGUGCCCAGUAGCGGGGGAUAACUACGCGAAAGCGUAGCUAAUACCGCAUACGCCCUACGGGGGAAAGCAGGGGAUCGUAAGACCUUGCACUAUUGGAGCGGCCGAUAUCGGAUUAGCUAGUUGGUGAGGUAACGGCUCAACAAGGCGACGAUCCGUAGCUGGUUUGAGAGGACGACCAGCCACACUGGGACUGAGACACGGCCCAGACUCCUACGGGAGGCAGCAGUGGGGAAUUUUGGACAAUGGGGGCAACCCUGAUCCAGCCAUCCCGCGUGUGCGAUGAAGGCCUUCGGGUUGUAAAGCACUUUUGGCAGGAAAGAAACGUCGCGGGCUAAUACCCCGUGGAACUGACGGUACCUGCAGAAUAAGCACCGGCUAACUACGUG
RNAcentral lists this ribosomal RNA (484 nucleotides) under uncultured bacterium. RNAcentral describes it as "partial 16S ribosomal RNA". It matches the Rfam family "Bacterial small subunit ribosomal RNA", at positions 30 to 507 of the family's 1533-position model. The record is from RNAcentral.